CCUACGGGAGGCAGCAGUAGGGAAUCUUUGACAAUGGGCGAAAGUCUGAUGGAGCAAAGUAGCGUGAAGGAUGAAGGCCCUAGGGUUGGUAAACGCUUUUAUAAGCGAGAAAAAUGAUGGUAAGUUAUGAAUAAGGAUCGGCGAACUACGUGCCCGCAGGCGUAGUCAUACGUAGGAGGCGAGCAUUAUCAGGAGUGACUGGGUGUAAAGCGUUGCGUAGGGGGGAAAAUAAGUAGCUAGUGGAAUCUUGAGGCUUAACCAUUCAGACUAUUAGCUAAACUGUUAGGCUCGAGACCAGUAGUGGUAGCUGGAAUUUCUAGUGUAGGAGUGAAAUGCGUAGAUAUUAGAAGGAACACCGAUAGCGGAGGCAGGUUACUGGGACGUUUCUGACACUAAGGCUCGAAAGCGUAGGUAGCAAACGGGAUUAGAUACCCGGGUAGUC
Molecule: ribosomal RNA, 442 nt
Filed under: uncultured bacterium
Lineage: Bacteria
Description: partial 16S ribosomal RNA
Rfam family: Bacterial small subunit ribosomal RNA
Source: RNAcentral